RNAcentral lists this ribosomal RNA (190 nucleotides) under uncultured bacterium. Its description in RNAcentral is "partial 16S ribosomal RNA". It matches the Rfam family "Bacterial small subunit ribosomal RNA", at positions 1297 to 1500 of the family's 1533-position model. The record is from RNAcentral.
AUUGCAGGCUGCAACUCGCCUGCAUGAAGUCGGAAUUGCUAGUAAUCGCAGAUCAGCAUGCUGCGGUGAAUACGUUCCCGGGCCUUGUACACACCGCCCGUCACACCAUGGGAGUUGAGAAUACCCGAAGCCCAUGUCAAAGUGGUCGAAGGUAGGCUUGAUGAUUGGGGUGAAGUCGUAACAAGGUAAC